GAAAUAGGAGAGAAGAGAAGAGGAAAGGAGGAGAGAAGAGAAGAUAAGAAUGAGAGGAGAGAAGGAGCAGAGAAGAAGAGGGAAACCCUAAAAAAUAAAAAAAUAAAAAAAGGAAAAUGCCCUUUAUAUAGCAGUGUAGUUGUAAUUGUGGAGCUCUUAAAUCUGGUUUAGCAUCGCCUUCCCAUAGCACUACCAUGAUGUUUAGAUAUUAACGUCAUAAAGGCGGGGAAAGGAGUUAUCAUUCAGGUAAUAACCGGGACAAUUUAGUAAGAAGCGAUGUGGGUGGAAACUUACCCCUUGCAAGGGCCCACUACCCUUCUUUUACCAUAAGCUCAAUGGCCUAGGUUUGGGAUAGUGGGUAUGAGAGAUGGAAUGUAUUAGGCACCCUCUUUGUCUGAACUUACCUUAAAAGAGGGGUCAACUUUUACUAUUGAUUUCUAAAGUUUUUCUUGUUGUAUCUUUUAUUAAAUUCUCUAAUCAUAUAUUUAUAAUUAUAUAUUUAUGUAAGCUAAGAUCCACACACAUUUAAAUUUAACCAUUCAAGAAAAUAACAAAUAGGUACAUGUGCAUAGAAAGUUCUAUCAUGUGAUGUUUCUAAGUUAAAAAAAAUUACCUUUUAUACCAUCUUACCCUACAUGUAUAUUUAACUAAGUCAAUUACAUGCCAAGUCAUUUUACAAAUCAUACAUAGCAUACAAAAGAAAGAUUCUUAGGCAUUUCAAUCUAAAGUAUAUGCAUAAGACGAAAAGGAGGGUCCUAAACAUGUCAAUGUUUCUAGAUUAUGUAUUUAGGCCCAUUAAUUGCCAUGUUUCCCUUUAUGCAUCUUUACUAAGUUACAUGCCAAAAGUUCAUUUGAAAAUAUUCAAAAUAAUCAAAAUAAAAUUAAAGUCCUAAACUUAAAGAAAGAGGGAGGAGAAUAAAGAUUAAAAACCUUAAAAUGACUUUUACAACUCAUAAUUAAAAAUAAAAUUAAUCCUAAAAUUAUUAUAAGGUCUUAGGCCCAUUAACUUAGUGCAAGAGGUCUUGGAGUUCCAUCUUGAAUUUUAGAUUGGGUUUGAUUCACCAAUGGGUGAAGGGGUACCAAUGAGACGCAGGAUCAAAGCGAUAUUCAAGAAAGAUAGAAUUAAUAUAAAGAAGAAGAAGAAAGAACAAUAAAUAAUAAGAAGAUGCAGUAAAAUGAAAAUGCAGUAAAAUGAAAAUGAGAAUGCAAUAAAUCAACAAGUUAUAAUAGCAUAAAAUUAUGGGCGGUAGAACCAGCCACAGAAAUAGAUAUAAAGAAUAAAAUAACAAGUUAUAAAAGCAUUAAAAUAUGGGUGGUAGAACCAGCCACGGAUAUAGAUUUGAAGAAUAAAACAAAUAAAGAUUGUAAGAAGAUAGUUUUAUUAAAGCUCUGAUAGCGGACACUCACAAGGAGAUAGGAUAAGGAAAGGGAGAGCUACUUCUAAGGAAAACUUGUAAAGAAAAACUUGUAAAAUGAAGUAGAGAGCCUCUUCCUUUUAUAGAUGAAGGAAAGAGGUUUACAAUGAUUAUAAGUUACUAUUACACAUGUGAAAGGUAAAAAGAUAUAUAAGUGGAGUGAAAAAUGUCAAAAGUUGUUGCAAGUGGAAUUCCUGUAGCCAUGUGAUGACCAGAGUUGUCUUGAUGAUAGCCGGAAAAGUUGACCUUGAACUAUAGGCAUGUGAAGAGUUACUGGAGCUUUAAGGCAGACAAUAUUCCAAAGCAGUCAUCCUCGUUAUCAUUACCGAGACUGACGACAUCAGAAGAUGAGCUAGCUUGGCUUGGAGUUUUUGAAGUGGAUGACCUGUUACUCAGCAAUUGUUGCAUGAUAGUUAAAUAUUCUUCUUCAGACUUGGCCUGGGCCAAGAGGGAUUGAGCAUUUGAUUUUUGGGCCAAAAAAGUCGUAGGGUUUUGGGCAGAAGUUGAAGGAAGUUGUCUUUGCUCCUUAGGCUGUUUGAGUAGCCAUUGUUCCACAGCUUCUAAGGAGGCCUUUUGAUGCUUUUGAAAUUUGGACCACCAUCUAAUUUUGAACUUGCGAAUUAGAACUGGCCCUUGGAGAAGUUGAUCAGUUUUGUAACCAUAGUCCCAUGAAAGAACCCAUGGCACAAAGAACUUCAAAGCAAAUAGUAUGAGGGAAUGAAAUAUGUCUUCUUCAGUUGUAGGCUUAUAGCGAGCCUUGAAAGUUGUAUACCCUUGAUUGAUUUCGGAGGGUAAUAUUUCAGGGAUAGCUCCCAUCCAGUUCCACCAUUGGGCAAACCAUCUGGGAAAGUGAAAUUUGGAGACGAUAUGGAAGAAAAAUAGCUAAGUGUGACAGUUGCUGGGGUUUUGGAUUAGAAAAGCAUUUAUCCAAGCUUGGUGGUAAUCCCAAUAUAUGAAAGUUGUAGUAGAAGGGAUGCUUUGACCAAAUCUAGCUUGAAAUUUCUUUGGGGCAGAUAAGUCUUGUCCCCAAUUGGCAGGGUGGAUAACUUUGAGUAUAGUGCAGGUGGAAUAGUUUGGGACAGGGGAGUUUUCUGGGAAGUGUUUAAUUUUGACCGACCCAAUUUCAAUCAAGAUACUUUAGUAGUAAGCUGGAUCUUUAGACUUAUCCCACGGCUUGAAGUGCCAAGAACCAAAGAACUUAGCUGCACAUAAACGAGGGUUAGAAUCAUAAAAUCCAUCCUCAAUAGUUAAAAUACUUUGAUAAGAAUCCUUUAAAAUCCAGUUGAAUGCUGAACCAGAGUUUUGAGAAAAGUUUUGUGAAACCAUUGGCUCAUUUGAUUUUAAAGUCAAAUCCAUUGAAGGAACAAGUUUAGGAGUUGAAACAGUUUGAGAAAGUGAUUUUUGAGAGAGAGUUUUUUGGUUUUGAACAAUAAUUUCUCUCUCAGCUUCUUGAGAGCAAGCUUGAGUUAAAAGUUUUUUGGGUUGUCCUUUUGGGAGCGAAACUCUGAGGGACUGGCAAAGUUGUGGGUGAUUAAUAAGGCCUGCAAGCCACACUUGCAAGUCACUUGGAGAAAGUUGUUCUGGAGGAGUUUGGGAAGUUGAAGGUUGGUCAAGUUGAUCUAUUUCUUUUUGGAAUAAAGCAUUCCAUGAAACAAUAGGGCUUUGGGAAGUCAUCUUAGGUUGGCUUAGUGUAAGUUGUUGAGAGGAAGCUUGGGGUUUGGGUGAAGUUUUCUUUGAGGUAGAAGCUGAAGCUUUUUCUUUUGUUGAUUCUUCAAUCUUCUUUCUUGGAAUCAUUGUGAGGAGUCUGUAAGAAUUCACGAGUUAGGAAGUCAGGGAUAGAAUUCAUAUCUCCUCUAAUAUAUUCGAUAUCAAAGUCAAAAAUACUUAAAAUAGCUUGCCAACGAGCAAAGAUUUGUUUGGAAGCAAUGUUUUGAACAUCCUUUUUCAAAACCUCUUUUGCAAAUUUGCAGUCAAUUCGAAGCAACAGUUUUUUAUUAAGCAAAUCACUUUGAAAUUUUUGAAUGCAGAUGACUAUUGAUAAAAUUUCUUUUUUAAUAGUGGAAUAAUUUUUCUGGGUUUCAUCCCAAUGUCCAGAAACAUACUGAACUAUAACUUCUUUGUUAUUUUUAAGUUGCUUUAGAAUUCCUCCAUAUCCAAGAUCAGAGGCAUCAGUUUCAACAAUUUUAAAAGCAAAUGGAUCAGCAAGAUGUAAGCAAGGAAUUUGCUUUAUUUGGGUUUUGAUUUUCUGAAAAAGGGAAGUGUGUUCCUGUGUCCAGGGCUUAGGAUUCUUUUUGAGUCUUUCAUGAAGUGAUUGAAGCAGUUUAUUUAAGUUUGGAAAGAAAUCUAAGACAUAGUUUAAACAUCCUAGAAAUCUUUGAAGUUGAGUUUUCUCAAUAAUUUUGUCAGGAAACUUAUUAGUGAAAGCAAGUGACCUUUCUAUUGGUGAGAUUGUACCAUUGGAGAUAUAGUGUCCUAAGAACCUAAUCCUAGUCUGGAAAAGACUAAUUUUGGACUUAGAAACUACUAAUCCAUUUCUUUUAGCAACAAGGAUAAAAGUUCUUAGAUGUUUGAAAUGUUGCUCAAUAGAAGAUGAAAAGAUUAAGACAUCAUCAAUGUAAACUAUGCAAAAUGCAGAGUAUGGAUUAAAAAUGUCAUUCAUGAUGCGUUGAAAUUCAGAUGGGGCAUUUUUCAAACCAAAUGGCAUGACAUUCCAUUCAUAUUGGCCAAACGGGAUGGUGAAAGCAGUUUUGUAAUGAUCUUUGAGAGCUAUUUGUAUUUGCCAAAAGUCAGAUUUCAUGUCAAACUUUGAAAAGAUUUUUGCAGCAAAAAGUUUUUGAAGAAGAUCCUUUUUGUUUGGAAUCGGGUAACGAAUCCAUUUCAAAGCCUUGUUAAGAGGCUUAUAGUUAAUAACAAGUCGAGGGACUCCUCUUUCAAUUUCUGAAGAUUUGUUAACAUAAAAAGCAGCACAACUCCAGGGGGACCUUGAAGCAGAAAUUAAAUUUUUAGAAAGCAAAUCUUUAAUUUCAUUUCUACAGUGGUCUUCAAGUUCUUUAUUCAUUUGAAUUGGGCGGGCUUUAGUAGGAAUUUGAGAUUCUUGAAAAUCAUUUUCGUAAGGUAGAUCAACAACAUGUUGUUUUCUUUCCCAAAAAGCAUUCGGAAGAUCUGAACAAACAGUAUUUUCUAUUUGUCAUUGAAGAAGAGAAAUCCUUUUCUUUAAAACAGGAUGUUGAAGUUGAAGUUGAUUUUGAAUUCUUUGGAUUAAAACAGUUUUUCUUAGGUUUUGGAGUUCUAUUUCCUUUGACAAAAUCAGACAGUUGAGUUGAUUUUCAUAAACAGAGCAGGCUUUAAUAAUGUGCAAGUUACGAGUUUGGGGUUUUUCAAUAAAAGGGAAAACAACCUUCUUUCCUUUAAGUUUAGCAGAAAUAUGAUCAUAAUUAACAGCAUAAGGAGUAAUAAGAUUUAUGAAUGGAGUGCCAAGUAUGACCGUAUGAUGAAUGUUAUGCACAAGCAAGAAUGAAGUUUUGAUUUGCAAACCGUUAUUCAAAACGUAUGCAUCAGUUUUUGAAUCAAUUUCGAGAUAAGAGUUAUUAGCGGCCUUGAGCUUUUCAGUAGUUACUUCUUGAAAUGCUUUUGGAAUUAUUUCUU
This 5060-nucleotide unclassified non-coding RNA is filed under the name Hevea brasiliensis (rubber tree). The record is from RNAcentral. Lineage: Eukaryota; Viridiplantae; Streptophyta; Magnoliopsida; Malpighiales; Euphorbiaceae.